GCUGUGAUGAAGAUUUGUGGCACUGAUCUACUUGAACUGAUUUAGUCCACAAUUGUCCUCUAAGAAGUUCUGAGCUU
This is a small nucleolar RNA of Carassius auratus (goldfish), 77 nucleotides long. Ensembl annotates it as small nucleolar RNA SNORD61. NCBI's taxonomy places the organism in Eukaryota, Metazoa, Chordata, Actinopteri, Cypriniformes, Cyprinidae. The record is from Ensembl.